CCGGAGGAAGGUGGGGACGACGUCAAGUCAUCAUGGCCCUUACGUGUAGGGCUACACACGUGCUACAAUGGCGCAUACAGAGUGCUGCGAACUCGCGAGAGUAAGCGAAUCACUUAAAGUGCGUCGUAGUCCGGAUUGGAGUCUGCAACUCGACUCCAUGAAGUCGGAAUCGCUAGUAAUCGCGUAUCAGAAUGACGCGGUGAAUACGUUCCCGGGCCUUGUACACACCGCCCGUCACACCAUGGGAGUGGGUUGCUCCAGAAGUAGAUAGUCUAACCCUCGGGAGGACCUUACCUUGUUUCCCUCC
This 307-nucleotide ribosomal RNA is filed under the name Pseudoalteromonas sp. Its description in RNAcentral is "bacterial SSU rRNA". It matches the Rfam family "Bacterial small subunit ribosomal RNA", at positions 1163 to 1470 of the family's 1533-position model. The record is from RNAcentral. Lineage: Bacteria; Pseudomonadati; Pseudomonadota; Gammaproteobacteria; Alteromonadales; Pseudoalteromonadaceae.